UACGGUAGGUGCGAGCGUUGUCCGGAAUUAUUGGGCGUAAAGAGCUUGUAGGCGGUUUGUCGCGUCUGCCGUGAAAAUCCGGGGCUCAACCCCGGACUUGCGGUGGGUACGGGCAGACUAGAGUGUGGUAGGGGAGACUGGAAUUCCUGGUGUAGCGGUGAAAUGCGCAGAUAUCGAGAGGAACACCAGUGGCGAAGGCGAGUCCCUGGACAACACCUGACACUGAGGCACGAAAGCUAGGGGAGCAAACAGG
RNAcentral lists this ribosomal RNA (253 nucleotides) under uncultured bacterium. RNAcentral's name for it is "partial 16S ribosomal RNA". It matches the Rfam family "Bacterial small subunit ribosomal RNA", at positions 524 to 776 of the family's 1533-position model. The record is from RNAcentral.